ACAGCUCACUGGUCUAGUGGUUCCGCGCCGACAAUGUAGCGGGGCUCAAGCACACCACCGAAGACGCGGCAGUAGCUUUGCUACUGGGUAGGAGAGCGUCCCAUGCGGGGCGAAGCGGCGGCGCAAGCCCGCCGUGGACUGCAUGGGAGUGAGAAUGCAGACAUGAGUAGCGAAAGACGGGUGAAGAUCCCGUCCGCUGGACGACCAAGGGUUCCAGGGCCACGUUCAUCGUCCCUGGGUGAGUCGGGUCCUAAGGCGAGGCCGACAGGCGUAGUCGAAUGGAUGAACGGGUCGAUAUUCCCGUACCGGCAUGCAACCGACAAAACCGAAUCCGCGAGUACUAACCUCCGGGUCCGGGCUUACGUCUCCUUCGGGAGCCGGAUGCCCUGGCCUGUUGGGACCGUAACGGUAGUAGGUCAGCGCGGGAGUGACGCAGAAGGGUAGCCGGCCGCGGAGGUGGUCUUCCGUGGUCAAGCACGCAGCCCGUCCCACAGGCAAAUCCGUGGGGCGCGUGGGCGAGGUGCGAUGAUGGGCGCCGCAGGGCGCGAUAUCCGGUGAUCCCGGCUGCCGAGAAAAGCUUCGGCGUGAGGCGGCGUGCCGCCCGUACCCCAAACCGACACUGGUGGUCAGGUAGAGAAUACCAAAGCGAUCGAGCGAAUCCUGGUCAAGGAACUCGGCAAAUCACUCCCGUUCCUUCGGUUUAAGGGAGACCCCCGAUGGUGAAGCGGCUUGCCCGUGGAGCUUUUGGGGGUGGCACAGACCAGGGGGUAGCGACUGUUUACCAAAAACACAGGAGCGUGCGAAGGCGCAAGCCGCUGUAUACGCUCUGACGCCUGCCCGGUGCCGGAAGGUUAAGAGGAUCCGUCAGGCUUCGGCCGAAGCGGUGAAUUCAAGCCCCGGUAAACGGCGGUGGUAACUAUAACCAUCCUAAGGUAGCGAAAUUCCUUGUCGGGUAAGUUCCGACCUGCACGAAUGGCGUAACGACUUCCCCACUGUCUCGACCAGGAGCUCGGCGAAAUUGCAGUACGAGUAAAGAUGCUCGUUAAGCGCAGAAGGACGAAAAGACCCCGGGACCUUUACUAUACCUUGGUAUUGGCAUUCGGUGUGGAUUGUGUAGCAUAGGCGGAAGGCUUCGAAGCCACGGCGCCAGCCGCGGUGGAGCCGCAAGGUGAAAUACCGCUCUGUUCGCAUUGGAUGUCUAACCUCGACCAGUCAUCCUGGUCAGGGACAGUGCCUGGCGGGUAGUUUAACUGGGGCGGUUGCCUCCCAAAGAGUAACGGAGGCGCUCAAAGGUUCCCUCAGCCCGGUUGGCAAUCGGGUGGCGAGUGUAAGUGCACAAGGGAGCUUGACUGCGAGACUGACGGGUCGAGCAGGGACGAAAGUC
Molecule: ribosomal RNA, 1384 nt
Filed under: human gut metagenome
Description: bacterial LSU rRNA
Rfam family: Bacterial large subunit ribosomal RNA
Source: RNAcentral